Oryza sativa Japonica Group (Japanese rice) is the source of this 3143-nucleotide long non-coding RNA. RefSeq lists it as uncharacterized. Lineage: Eukaryota; Viridiplantae; Streptophyta; Magnoliopsida; Poales; Poaceae. The record is from RefSeq and is a predicted model, not a curated record.
GGCAUCAGCAUGGACUGAACUACUCCAUCGGCUCCUUGCUGCUCCUCGUUGACCUCCUCCCCGGCCUCCUGAACUUGUUCUCUAAGUUCCUCUUCCUCCUCCUUAACCUCUUCCUCCUCAAUCUCCUCUUCUUCCUCCUCCACAACCUCUUCCUCCUCAAUAUCCUCCUCUUCCUCAACUUCUUCCUCCUCCUCCUCCUCCUCUUCCUCCUCCUCGUCGCUGUGAAGCUGCUCGUCAAGUGAUAAACAAGCAAACUUUUCUGACAUGACUAUGUCUUGUGCAUCAAGUAGUGAUUUAGUUGUGUUCCCUCUGAAGGAAAUGGAAGGAAAUAGGGGAUGACUGGGUGCGGCUGCACAACUCCGGUGGCGAUGGUGGUAGCUCGGUUCUAAGAGCUACCAAAAUGCUCAGGUUUAGUCUGCAUCACCCCAUCCUCCAGUACGACCGCUGCCACCAUGCCCGAAGCGCUCUUCCGCACAGUACGACGAACACGGGGUGCUCAGCGAAAUGUCCCGUCCGUCUCCUCACCUGCAAUGCAUCAUGAAGAGAAUAGAAGAAUACAGAGGGAACAAGGAAGAGGAGGAAAGCAUUAGAGUUCUUUGGUGCUCAUGAACUGCUCGAUGAAAUGUCUUGAGGGGCUCAUCACAAGUAUCUAUACGAUCUCUUCUAUUGAUUCACAUGUGAUGAUUUAGUACCUUUCUCAGGAUUGCACACACAUGAGCUCUAUGCCAGGGCACUAUGCGACGCUGUGAUGAGUGAGCUGUGGCCACUGUGCUGAUCAUAGAGCAACAGAGCAGAAACUACAGGUUAAGUUGCUCGACGUCUACGCCAUGCUUAUCUUCUCAUAAGCGCCUCCCAUUUCAUCCCUAUCGGCCUCUGAGAUUACUGAAGGCUCCUGCUACAUGAAGCAUGAAGUGGGUGCUGGUCUCCAUCUGCUUCUCUCCCUGACGUGCAGGAAUUUAUGGUUGGCUUAAAAAUUAUAGCUGAAUGGGCACACCAUUAAUGUUCACUGUGUACAAAAAACUGUGGUGGUUUUUUGAAUUUUGUACAUGAUCCACCAAACAAACAAGGCUCUGGAAGGAUCUAAUAUGUGGUUUAGGAAAGGAUGGGAGUGCUUGAACCUGGAAGCAUCUCCUGCUCAUUAUGCUCUUAGGUGUUUUAUUUCCGAUGCUGUUACUAUUGAUACAACAGGGAAAGUCACAUAUUGUUUAAAAUAUUUAUUGUGCUUAAAAUACUAUACUGUGUAAUGUCCGAAAUUUAUAUUCAUGCGUUAGAUGUUUCACUUUCACAUGCACAUGCACUUCUGUUGAAUGUGUUGUUAAGUUCUCCUAUGAACUGUUUCGCUGAGUGGUUUACAUUACAUUUCUUUCACAGGUGGUGAUCAUAGCAUGAUGGCAAUCGAAUUCCACCGUGUUGGUAGCAUGCACUAUAUAUUUUCCGGUUAUACAUCACAGAAGACAGAAAAGCCAGUGCUUUAAUCUGGGUGCAACAACACAUAUUCUAACUGGUUUUGGGCUCAACUUUCUGUUAUUAUUAAUUUACUAGAAAAAAUCCCCGUGCGUUGCAACGGGUAAAAACGUUUUUUAUACUAUACAUUAUACUCCCUUGUUUUUAGACCGAAUGCUUUCUUGUUUUUGGACCGAACGUUCAUUCUUUCCCUCAUUUUCAGAUUUAGUCCUAGAGCAGUCCGCUGCUUCUAUCUGCUUGGCCUCUCUCUUCGGCUCAGCCCACAAGUGGAGCUGUAGGCCCAGCUCGAACAGUCCUUUGCUUGGCCUAUCUCCCUUCGGCUCAGCCCACAAGUGAAGCUGUAGGCCCAGCUCGAACAGUCCUGUGCCUGGCCUACCUCUCUUUGGCUCAGCCCGCAAGUGGAGCUGUAGGCCCAGCUCGAACAGUCCUGUGCCUGGCCUUCUCUUCGGCUCAGCCUGUAACAUCUCGAACAGUCUCGUGCCCGCAUGACGGAGCCGAUCCUCCCACCAAAUCCGGUAAUUGACCAGCUCGAACAGUCCUGUGCCUGCCCUACCUCUCUUUGGCUCAGCCCGCAAGUGGAGCUGUAGGCCCAGCUCGAACAGUCCUGUGCUUGGCCUACCUCUCUUCGGCUCAGCCCGUAAGUGUAGCUGUAGGCCCAUCUCGAACAGUCUCGUGCCCGUACCGUAGGGGUGAAAACGGUACGGAAACUUUCCGGAUUCCAGGCCUGUUUUUGGAAACGGAAUCAGCCGAUCGAAAUUUUUUUCGGAAUUUCUCGAAAACGGAAUCGAAAACGGAAAUAUUUUCUCGGAAACGGAAUCGAAUAUGAUAAUAGCAGUUUCCGUCGGAACUCGGAAUCGGUCGGAAAAAUUCCGGAAAAUUUGUCGGAAUUUCCGAAGUUAAAAAGGCCCAUGAAAUCAAUAGUCUAUAAUUCGUCCCCAAGUUUCCAGCCCAACCCAAAUCGCGGCAUCUACCCAAAUAGUGGCUAACCCUAUAGAGGAGAGAGACAGACACACGGCAUCGCGAGACCGCGAGCGGUGGCAGAGCAUCACGCUCCACCCACCGCCAGCGCCCCGCGCCACCCCUGGUCCGCCGUCCUCGGCUCCUCGCGACCUCGCCCCCACCAUCUUCGCUGUCUCGUACCGCCGCCAUCUCGCGGCGCUGUCCAGCCGUUUCGCGGCGCCGUCUCGCGGCGGCAGCGCCGUCCCGCCGUUUCGCCGCCGCUACCACCACUGACGACGACGCCACAGCCACACCGACGAGCCGACGACGCCUCGCCUCUGCGACUCGACAGCAGCCAGCAGCCCAGCGGCAGCAGCCAACAGCCCAGCGGCAGCAGCCAGCAGCCCAGCGACGAGCCGACGAGCCUAAACCAUUGAUUUGAUUUCUUUUGUGCUGCAGAUUUAUGAUGGAAUCAUCAAAUGCAAGUAGCUAUUUUGUGAUUGAACUAAGUACUGUACUAAUGGACUGAUGUGUGUUGCUGUUUUGUGAUGACUAAUGAUUGAUGAACUAUGUACUGAUGAUGGAGUGAUAGCUCAUAGCAGAUUAGCAGUAUAGCACUGAAUAAUAGUGUAUACUGUAUACCUUAUACCAUGGUCUUUUGCUGUAUUUUUUUUAGAAUAUUUGUUAUGCAAAUUAUAUGAAGUUAUAGAAGAAUAUAUUUUGCUGUUGAGACGAUUUCA